RNAcentral lists this ribosomal RNA (428 nucleotides) under uncultured Acidobacterium sp. Its description in RNAcentral is "bacterial SSU rRNA". It matches the Rfam family "Bacterial small subunit ribosomal RNA", at positions 958 to 1385 of the family's 1533-position model. The record is from RNAcentral. Lineage: Bacteria; Pseudomonadati; Acidobacteriota; Terriglobia; Terriglobales; Acidobacteriaceae.
AACGCGAAGAACCUUACCUGGGCUCGAACGGCUUCGGACAAUCCUUAGAAAUAGGGACUUCCCGCAAGGGACUGGAGUCGAGGUGCUGCAUGGCUGUCGUCAGCUCGUGUCGUGAGAUGUUGGGUUAAGUCCCGCAACGAGCGCAACCCUUGUCCUGUGUUGGCAUGCCGCAAGGCGCAACUCGCAGGAGACCGCCAGCGAUAAGUUGGAGGAAGGUGGGGAUGACGUCAAGUCAUCAUGGCCUUUAUGUCCAGGGCCACACACGUGCUACAAUGGGCGGUACAAAGCGCUGCCAACCCGCGAGGGGGAGCUAAUCGCCAAAAACCGUCCUCAGUUCGGAUUGCAGGCUGCAACUCGCCUGCAUGAAGCUGGAAUCGCUAGUAAUGCUAUAUCAGAACGAUAGCGUGAAUACGUUCCCGGGCCUUGUA